This is a long non-coding RNA of Daphnia pulicaria, 514 nucleotides long. RefSeq lists it as uncharacterized. The record is from RefSeq and is a predicted model, not a curated record. Lineage: Eukaryota; Metazoa; Arthropoda; Branchiopoda; Diplostraca; Daphniidae. The transcript is spliced from 2 exons.
CAUUCGCUGAAAUCGAAUUAACAUUUUCUUGAAAAAUUUAUUUUAUUUGCGAAAAAAAGUUAUCGAGGGUAGAAACUGCUUAGCCCUUUUGGAAAUGAUAGCACGUCGUCUGCUAUUCAUUUAUUUCAAGUCUGUGCUUCGCUCGUUCAAACGUGGUCGAACGUUUCGUCAUUCCUUUUUUGGUGCAAAAUUUUCCAUUCGUCACUGCAAACAUUUGUGGCUAUUGACUUUCAACGGAUAAUGAACUGACUUUGUGACGAAUGAAUAAUUUAAAAGACAAUGGUGUUAUUGUCUCUUCUCGAAAUCGCCAUCAUCUCUCCCGACCACGUGUUUCGUGCGAAAAGCAAGGAACUUUUACGGCGAAAAACCUUUAACGAAUAAAAUGUCAGCCCACGACAUCGCCACACCGAGCUCUUUGAUUCAUUUGCAUCCAACAAAUGUAAGUAACCUCCUGGCCACACACAAUCUGCUUGUUGAGACUUAGAUCGCAGCCGGCUCACGGUAACAUUUAAAA